GGCUUUUUAGUAUAAUUUAUUAUUUUUGUUUUCCAAACAAAAGGUUUGUAAGCUAA
RNAcentral lists this transfer RNA (56 nucleotides) under Mansonella sp. 'DEUX'. Its description in RNAcentral is "tRNA-Gly". The record is from RNAcentral. Lineage: Eukaryota; Metazoa; Nematoda; Chromadorea; Rhabditida; Onchocercidae.